GAUGAACGCUAGCGGCAGGCUUAAUACAUGCAAGUCGAGGGGCAUCAAGGUACACGAAAGUGUAUUGUUGGCGACCGGCGGACGGGUGAGUAAUAGGUAGGUAACCUACCUCAUACUGAGGCAUAGCUGGGAGAAAUUCCAGGUAAUUCCUCAUGAGGUUAUAUGACACAUGUGAUAUAAUCAAAGGUAUCGCAAGGUACUGGUAUGAGAUGGGCUUACUGACCAUUAGCUAGUUGGUGAGAUAAGAGCUCACCAAGGCGAAGAUGGUUAGGGGUUUUGAGAGAGAGAUCCCCCAAUUGGAACUGAGAUACGGUCCAGACUCCUACGGGAGGCAGCAGUAGGGAAUAUUGGGCAAUGGGCGGAAGCCUGACCCAGCCAUGCCGCGUGAAGGAAGACGGCCUUAUGGGUUGUAAACUUCUUUACUAUGCGACUAACUAGAUUUACGAGAUAAUUCUAUAGAAUGUAGCAUAGCAAAAGCAACCGG
Molecule: ribosomal RNA, 484 nt
Filed under: uncultured bacterium
Lineage: Bacteria
Description: bacterial SSU rRNA
Rfam family: Bacterial small subunit ribosomal RNA
Source: RNAcentral